UACGGGAGGUGCAAGCGUUGUUCGGAGUGAUUGGGCGUAAAGCGCACGUAGGCGGGUUUGUAAGUCAGAUGUGAAAGCCCCGGGCUUAACCUGGGAAUUGCAUCUGAAACUACAGGUCUUGAAUGUUUCAGGGGUUGGUAGAAUUCCUGGUGUAGGAGUGAAAUCCGUAGAGAUCAGGAGGAAUACCGGAGGCGAAGGCGGCCGACUGGGAAAACAUUGACGCUGAGGUGCGAAAGCGUGGGGAGCAAACAGG
RNAcentral lists this unclassified non-coding RNA (253 nucleotides) under uncultured Oligoflexaceae bacterium. RNAcentral's name for it is "contains 16S-23S intergenic spacer region". It matches the Rfam family "Bacterial small subunit ribosomal RNA", at positions 524 to 776 of the family's 1533-position model. Lineage: Bacteria; Pseudomonadati; Bdellovibrionota; Oligoflexia; Oligoflexales; Oligoflexaceae. The record is from RNAcentral.